This is a non-coding RNA of Dipodomys ordii (Ord's kangaroo rat), 70 nucleotides long. The record is from Rfam. NCBI's taxonomy places the organism in Eukaryota, Metazoa, Chordata, Mammalia, Rodentia, Heteromyidae.
GGGAAUGUAGCCUAGUGGUAGAGUGCUUGCCUAGCAUGCAUGAAGCUCAGGGUUCGAUUCCUUAGCAUCA